This 498-nucleotide ribosomal RNA is filed under the name uncultured bacterium. Its description in RNAcentral is "bacterial SSU rRNA". It matches the Rfam family "Bacterial small subunit ribosomal RNA", at positions 8 to 518 of the family's 1533-position model. The record is from RNAcentral.
AGAGUUUGAUUAUGGCUCAGGAUGAACGCUGGCGGCGUGCUUAACACAUGCAAGUCGAACGAAGCGAUUUCUGCUUGCAAGAAAUGACUUAGUGGCGGACGGGUGAGUAACGCGUGGGUAACCUGCCUCAUACAGGGGGAUAACAGUUGGAAACGACUGCUAAAACCGCAUAACCCGCUAGUGUCGCAUGACACGGACGGAAAAUAUUUAUAGGUAUGAGAUGGGCCCGCGUCUGAUUAGCUAGUUGGUAAGGUAAUGGCUUACCAAGGCGACGAUCAGUAGCCGACUUGAGAGAGUGAUCGGCCACAUUGGGACUGAGACACGGCCCAAACUCCUACGGGAGGCAGCAGUGGGGAAUAUUGGACAAUGGGGGAAACCCUGAUCCAGCGAACCGCCGCGUGAGUGAAGAAGUAUUUCGGUAUGUAAAGCUCUAUCAGCAGGGAAGAUAAUGACAGUACCUGACUAAGAAGCCCCGGCUAACUACGUGCCAGCCGCAGC